UACGGGGGGGGCAAGCGUUGUUCGGAAUUACUGGGCGUAAAGGGCUCGUAGGCGGCCAACUAAGUCAGACGUGAAAUCCCUCGGCUUACCCGGGGAACUGCCUCUGAUACUGGAUGGCUUGAGAUUGGGAGAGGGAUGCGGAAUUCCAGGUGUAGCGGUGAAAUGCGUAGAUAUCGGGAGGAACACCAGUGGCGAAGGCGAUCACCUGGGGUUGUUCUGACGCUGAGGAGCGAAAGCUAGGGGAGCAAACGGG
This 253-nucleotide ribosomal RNA is filed under the name uncultured bacterium. RNAcentral's name for it is "partial 16S ribosomal RNA". It matches the Rfam family "Bacterial small subunit ribosomal RNA", at positions 524 to 776 of the family's 1533-position model. The record is from RNAcentral.